Molecule: small nuclear RNA, 107 nt
Organism: Dipodomys ordii (Ord's kangaroo rat)
Lineage: Eukaryota; Metazoa; Chordata; Mammalia; Rodentia; Heteromyidae
Source: Ensembl
GUGCUCGCUUUGGCAGCACAUAUACUAAAAUUGGAACGAUACAAAGAAGAUUAGCAUGGCCCUUGCGCAAGGAUGACACGCAAAUUUGUGAAGCGUUCCAUAUUUUU